AGAGUUUGAUCCUGGCUCAGAAUGAACGCUGGCGGCAUGGAUUAGGCAUGGAAGUCGAGCGGUAAGGCCCUUCGGGGUACACGAGCGGCGAAAGGGUGAGUAUCGCGUGAACCAUCUGCCCUGGAGUCUGGGAUAGCCCCGGGAAACCGGGAUUAAUACCGGAUGCGGAGUUGCGCUGCCUGGCGCAACCACCAAAGAUUUAUCGCUCCAGGAUGAGUUCGCGUCCCAUCAGCUUGUUGGCGGGGUAAUGGCCCACCAAGGCGACGACGGGUAGCUGGUCUGAGAGGAUGGUCAGCCACACUGGGACUGAGACACUGCCCAGACACCUACGGGUGGCAGC
Molecule: ribosomal RNA, 340 nt
Filed under: uncultured bacterium
Lineage: Bacteria
Description: bacterial SSU rRNA
Rfam family: Bacterial small subunit ribosomal RNA
Source: RNAcentral